This 465-nucleotide ribosomal RNA is filed under the name uncultured bacterium. RNAcentral's name for it is "partial 16S ribosomal RNA". It matches the Rfam family "Bacterial small subunit ribosomal RNA", at positions 338 to 795 of the family's 1533-position model. The record is from RNAcentral.
CCUACGGGAGGCUGCAGUAGGGAAUCUUCCACAAUGGGCGAAAGCCUGAUGGAGCAACGCCGCGUGGGUGAAGAAGGUCUUCGGAUCGUAAAACCCUGUUGUUAGAGAAGAAAGUGCGUGAGAGUAACUGUUCACGUUUCGACGGUAUCUAACCAGAAAGCCACGGCUAACUACGUGCCAGCAGCCGCGGUAAUACGUAGGUGGCAAGCGUUAUCCGGAGUUAUUGGGCGUCAAGGGAACGCAGGCGGUCUGUUAAGUUUGAUGUGAAAGCCUUCGGCUUAACCGGAGUAGUGCAUUGGAAACUGGGAGACUUGAGUGCAGAAGAGGAGAGUGGAACUCAAUGUGUAGCGGUGAAAGGCGUAGAUAUAUGGAAGAACACCAGUGGCGAAAGCGGCUCUCUGGUCUGUAACUGACGCUGAGGUUCGAAAGCGUGGGUAGCAAACAGGAUUAGAUACCCUGGUAGUC